ACCCAGGUCAGUAUUUUCCCUGUUGAGACCGAAGCAACUGAGGGUUGUACAACACACUCAACUGCUUCUUGAGGCCACUGUAGUUUCCAUGGGCAAAAGCAAACAGUCCUGAGCAAAUCCCACAUGACCUGUUCCAUUCUUGACUCUUCUAUUUACCUUUGUUUUUGAAGAAGCCCAGACACUAAGGCGACAUUCUCAUAAGUAUGUCACUUUAGCUGAGGAGGAAUAAACUACAGUGCUACAGCCAGGUGCCUGAUUCAAUCACAAAAUUAUUCAGACACCUGGGGCAAUGCCCAGCUGGCAGGGCUACCUGUUUGUUUUUCUUUUCAGCUUGUAUUUUGUAUUGUUGCCAGCCUUGUGUUUUAGAAGCAUUGAGGGCACUUAGCAUUUAUUUAGUCUUGGUUCCCACAGUCUUCCACCAGAAGCCCACCCCACGUGUAGGCGCGGGCGUUCAGGCGGGCUGCUGCUUGCUGGGAACCACGUUUCUCAGCCUGACUUGUUCUCUCUCUUCCUCUCCUAGAGGUUCAAAAGUCCAUUUCCAGUAUUUCCCAUAGAAAAGUGCUCCUAAUAUCUGAAAGUAUGCUAUUUUAGGAUGCAAGUAGAUCUUUGUCCUUCCUGCUUGGUGGAGAUGAAUUGGGGCACUGUUCCUGAGCCAGUGGCCUCUGUGAACACUGGAACACUGCCUGGGUGUCCACCCUCAUGUGGAGAAGCCAUGGGGACAGCUGCAGAAGAGAGUACCCACCUGGGCAGGUGAGGUGACCAACGCUGGACAACAUGCUUCCCCGUCCACUUGACUUCUUUGCAUCUUGCACUGAGACACAGCCCUCCAAGGGAAGCAGCAGCAGUGAACUGCUUUGUGGCACGAUGGCCUUCCAUGGAGUCUGAGGAAUUCUUCUGGAAGAUAAGGGGCUGGAAUUCCAAUUCCCAUUGGCACUACCCCAUGCAGGUCUAAUACCACUCAUUGGGCGAUAGUUCUUUGUAUUUCAGUCUGACAAUACCGUAUACAAUAGGCUGCUCGGGCUGCCAUUCAUCCGCCCUUGAAGGGGGAAAUUCCUUGAGGUGCUUCAAAGGGAGUUUACACUGAUAAAUGAGCAUUUCAGGAGGUGUGGGAAGAACGCCUGGUCCACGGGCGCCAUUGUCAGCAUUAGGCUUUUGGGAGAUUGAUGACUGAUGACAAAAACAGGGCAGCACUCGGUGACUUUCUGCUGGUUCUUGAGAAUCCAAAUGAAAGUCCUACCCUGAACCUGCUCUGCAAAGGGGACCCACAUGAGGUCGCUUGGAAAGGGUCCUGACCCACCCACCAUGUCAAGCAAUUAUUUUUCUGGACAGCUUCCUGAUGUCCCCAAGGAGAGAGAGAGCGUGACAGCCAGUGAGGGAAAGCAUGCCACAGGUCCCGCCUGCUAACCUGGCAGGAGGGUGCUUGCAACACCUAAUUUAUCAACGCUUGUUUUCCCUGCUGGAGCCAAGUACACAAAAUCACUCCGCCAACAGAGAAAGAGAAAGGGGAAGCCAUUCUUCACCUUUUUCAGUAAUGUAUUUUUGUUUUGGUCAAUUUCCCAGAUAAAUUAUGGUCUUGUCUCAUUGCUGCAUUGGUGGAAUUCUUGCUAGUGUUAUUUAGUACAUUUUAAAGCUGUGUGAAACCAAAAGGUACUUAAAAAAAAAAAAAAAAGGAAAGUUAACCAAAUUGAAGGGUAAAUUUUUUACAUUGUUCCACUGGCUCCAGUUGGAGCUUAAUCAUCACGACCCUUCCUUCAGUCCACAGCGCCUGCUUCAAGAUGCAGCAGAAGUCAAAAUUGCAAGAGUCUGGAUGUUUUGCUUUCGUGUAACUCAUUAGGCAUUUCCCCCUGUGCUAUGAUAAAUGUCUCUCUCAACCAGAAAUUUUAUCUCACCUGUGUAUGUCCCUAUUUCACUCUGCGGAAUCACUCUCAGGAAAUACAAGCUAAUGAUGUCUGUGGUUCUGAAAUUUCCUUGUUAUUAUUUGUUUAAGACAUUUUUUAAAAAAACCUGUGGACAGCUUAUUAAAAGGAUGCUGAGCAAUGAAAACAUUAUUAGACCAUAUUAUUGUUUAUUGUACCCAGAUGUCGUGCAUUUUACACAUCCCAAAGGAUUAGUAGUAAUGUUGGAUACCAAAAUCUUACUUUUCCUUGCAGAUAUUGAGACUAAAUUUUUCUCAUUAAAAACAAAACAUUUACACUGAACAAAUGGUGCGUGUCCGGGUGAAGCAUCAGGUCUCAAGAAGGCAACACUGCUCAAACGAGACUUAGGACAGAACUGGAGACCAAAACAAAGCUGAGGCUACUGUUGGAAAUACUGGUCUAAAAAAAGGAAGAGUGUGGUAUGCUUGUUUUUUAGUUUUAUAGAAUUUUCCAUUUGGAAAGGAGAGAAAUGCAUACAUCCAAGCUGAAAUAAACCAUUCUAGCAAACAUGCCGAGGAAUAAUUUUCAAGAAUGUUUUGUUUUUAAUGAAAAGGAAAGCAAAUCAAAGAAAACCUGGGUAAGUGUUAAAGAGUACUAAAUUUAUAGUAAGGUUCAGGCAAUCUGCCCACUGCAAUCAGAAAGGUUUGGGCUGUUAGUCAUUUAAGACACACAAUGGGAAAAUAAACAAAGAAGGAGGAAGGGGGAAUGGUAAACUGUAGUUUGGCAGCAAAAUUAGUCCAGCUAGUUCCAUUACAUAUUAAACCAUGUCACAAAGCAAAUAAUUGAAAUAAUGAGGAGCUCAUUUUUUAAAAGAUAUAUAGAGUAGCAUAACAGAAUCAACAAAAAUAAGACUGUUUUAUAUAACAAUUCAAUAGACAAUAAAUAAGCACUCCAUUUGGGGAAAAGAAUCACACAAUAAAUGAUGCUGGGAUGGCUUGUGAGUAAUUUGGAGAAAACUGAUCUAGAAUGAGAGCGAGUAUUCCACAUUCGCCACUCUCUUGUCUUUUGGCUUUCUAUCACCUUGGCCAAUGGAGGAAGACAGCAAAAAACAGGAAGGAGGAAGAGUAUGAAGGGAGUCAUUUCUCCCCGGCACUCCAUGCCAGGUUGCUCCAGAAGGCUGUGUCUCUGUCCUAAGGGCUACAGCUUGGCUUGGGCAGUCUUUCCAUACAACUCUCCAGGUUCGGGAAAUUGCUUACUCAUCUGCCCCUGCAAGUGCAGGGAUGACAAUCACUUCCAGCUGAGCUGAGCCCAGCAUGCUGCAUCAUUCUUUGUUGAUGUCCCUCAACUCCGCUGGCGCUAUCUUGAUUAUCCUUAGGCUUACCUCAGUUCCCCAGUCCUAGUGGGCCUUCUGGUUCCUCCUGGGGCACUGACUGAUCCAGGUGCCCUGGGGUUCAGUCGCUAAGUUUCAGCUUCCUAUGUGAUGGGGUUUGGUUCUGUCCUUGUCUAAAUCUCAUGUUGAAUUGUAAUCCCCAGUGCUGGAGGUGGGGCCUGGUGAGAGGUGACUGGAUCAUGGGGUGGAUUUCUCACGAAUAGUUUAGUGCCGUUCCGUUGGUGCUAUCCUCAUGAUAGUGAGUGAGUUCUUGCAAAAUCUGGUCAUUUAAAAGUGCUCCUGCUUUUGCCAUGUGAUGUGUGACAUGCGUACUCCCGCUUCACCUUCCACCACGAUUGUAAGUUUCCUGAGGCUUCCCCAGAAACUGAGCAGAUGCCAGUAUCAUGCUUCCUGUACAGCCUGAGGAUCCAUGAGCCAAUUAAACCUCUUUUCUCUAUAAAUUAUCCAGUCUCAGGUAUUUUUUAUAGCAAUGCAAGAACAGCCUAAUACUGUGCAAUUUCAGAAUCCCAAGUUUCUCUAUUUACCCAAGACCGGGGGGUGCUCCCGCGGCCUGAUUCAUGCUCACAGACAUGCAAA
This 3822-nucleotide long non-coding RNA is filed under the name Homo sapiens (human). Its description in RNAcentral is "HSALNT0049282". Lineage: Eukaryota; Metazoa; Chordata; Mammalia; Primates; Hominidae. The record is from RNAcentral.